UCAGCUCGUGCCGUGAGGUGUUGGUUAAGUCCCGGCAACGAGCGCAACCCCUACUGCCAGUUACUAACAGGUAACGCUGAGGACUCUGGCGGAACUGCCGGUGACAACCGGAGGAAGGUGGGGAUGACGUCAAGUCAUCAUGGCCCCUAUGUCCAGGGCUACACACGUGCUACAAUGGGCGAUACAGAGUGACGCGAAGCCGCGAGGUGGAGCAAAUCGCAGAAAAUCGCUCUCAGUUCGGAUUGGAGUCUGAAACCCGACUCCAUGAAGGUGGAAUCGCUAGUAAUCGCGCAUCAGCAUGGCGCGGUGAAUACGUUCCCGGGCCUU
RNAcentral lists this ribosomal RNA (327 nucleotides) under uncultured Spirochaetaceae bacterium. Its description in RNAcentral is "bacterial SSU rRNA". It matches the Rfam family "Bacterial small subunit ribosomal RNA", at positions 1055 to 1382 of the family's 1533-position model. Lineage: Bacteria; Pseudomonadati; Spirochaetota; Spirochaetia; Spirochaetales; Spirochaetaceae. The record is from RNAcentral.